UUAGGAAUUUUGCGCAAUGGGAGAAAUCCUGACGCAGCAACGCCGCGUGGGGGACGAAGGCCUUCGGGUUGUAAACCCCUUUUAGCUGGGAAAAAUAAAUUGAUGGUACCAGCAGAAAAAGCACCGGCUAACUCUGUGCCAGCAGCCGCGGUAAUACAGAGGGUGCGAGCGUUAUUCGGAAUCACUGGGCGUAAAGCGCGCGUAGGCGGCUUGGUAAGUCUGAUGUGAAAUCCCUGAGCUUAACUCAGGAAGUGCAUCGGAUACUGCUAGGCUAGAGUGUGGAAGAGGAUAGCGGAAUUCCAGGUGUAGAGGUGAAAUUCGUAGAUAUCUGGAGGAACAACAGUGGCGAAGGCGGCUAUCUGGGCCACCACUGACGCUGAGGCGCGAAAGCGUGGGGAGC
This 400-nucleotide ribosomal RNA is filed under the name uncultured bacterium. Its description in RNAcentral is "bacterial SSU rRNA". It matches the Rfam family "Bacterial small subunit ribosomal RNA", at positions 355 to 769 of the family's 1533-position model. The record is from RNAcentral.